This 282-nucleotide RNase P RNA is filed under the name Rhodanobacter sp. Its description in RNAcentral is "RNase P RNA component class A". It matches the Rfam family "Bacterial RNase P class A". Rfam says of the family: Ribonuclease P (RNase P) is a ubiquitous endoribonuclease, found in archaea, bacteria and eukarya as well as chloroplasts and mitochondria. The record is from RNAcentral. Lineage: Bacteria; Pseudomonadati; Pseudomonadota; Gammaproteobacteria; Lysobacterales; Rhodanobacteraceae.
GGAGUCGGCCGGGCAGUCGCGUCGCGCGCAAGCGCAUCGAGGAAAGUCCGGGCUCCACAGGGCAGAGUGCCAGGUAACUCCUGGGCAGCGUGAGCUGACGGCCAGUGCAACAGAGAGCAGACCGCCGAUGGCCCACUCGGAGCAAGACCAAAUAGGGGAACGAUAACGCGGCCCGCGUUGUUCCCGGGUAGGUUGCUGGAGCCAGGCGGCGACGCCUGGCCGAGAGGAAUGACUGUCGCGCCGCAAGGCGUACAGAACCCGGCUUACAGGCCGACUCCACCU